UGUUAGAUUCACUAUGCAGUAAUAUAAUUCAGAAUAGUAAUAUAAUUUUCUCUUUAAUACUAAAAUUAUAGUACUCAGAAAUUUUGAACCACCUGCUUAAAAGAUGAGUCUAUACUUCAUCACUUAUCAUGCAGAUGGCGCUCACAACUCCCUCUAUUUACUUUCAUUUUGUGAUUCUUUCUUGAGCGAUUUCUUUUCGGAUCGUUUGUUCUUAACAAAAAUAUAAUUGCUCAAGUUUUUAAGUAAUAAUUAUUGCGUUACUUUGAUAUUUCAUCGCCAUGAGUAAACGUAUACGGUCAGUAAAUUGUUGUAAUCCAUUCAAUGAGUCACAUAAAAAAGGAGUUAAAGAUUUAAGAAAAUUUCCCGACGAAGAUCGUUGGAAAUUUCCUGACUUAGAUGACACUUCAAUGUUAUGUGUGCGUUGUCGAUUCCGUGUCAAAGAAUAUAUUCCGCCAGCAUCAGAGGAAGAGGAAAUUAUUUCAAGUCAAAUUAGUGUUGAAAGUCUGAGUAUAUCAGCUGAAAUUUGUACUCAAGGAAGCAGUUUAUCUCGGUCAGUAAUUUUAGCGACAAUCUAUGUGAUUACAAUGAUCAUUCUUUAGAGUGAUUUUUGAAAAUUCCUCUUAUUGAAAAAGACAGGUUAUAUUCUGAAAAAAAUUAUGGAGUAAAAAAACUUGAUGAGAGCUAUGCUGCCCUAGAGAAUAAGUUCCAAUCACAAUUUGGAAUAGUACCUGAAUCUACCUACAGAAAGAUUAAUCAAGAUCAUUGUUCCAUGAUAGCUAAAGUGAAGAAAUUAUAUAACACUGAAAGUGACAAGUAAAU
Molecule: long non-coding RNA, 819 nt
Organism: Cotesia glomerata
Lineage: Eukaryota; Metazoa; Arthropoda; Insecta; Hymenoptera; Braconidae
Exons: 3
Source: RefSeq, a predicted model, not a curated record